GAAAUGCGAUAAGUAGUGUGAAUUGCAGAAUUCAGUGAAUCAUCGAAUCUUUGAACGCACAUUGCGCCUCCUGGUAUUCCGGGAGGCAUGCCUGUUCGAGCGUCAUUAAAAACCACUCAAGCUCUUUUGCUUGGUAUUGGAAGAUGAGUAUACUUUGUAUACUUCCUUUCGAAAUUCAAAGGCGUAGAGCCCCAUAUACCAAAGUGUAGUAAGUUUUCUUUCACUUGGAAUGUGAGGUAAUAUUGCCACAAACCCCCAAUUAUUUAUCUAGGUUGACCUCGGAUCAGGUAGGGAUACCCGCUGAACUUAA
RNAcentral lists this unclassified non-coding RNA (310 nucleotides) under uncultured Pyronemataceae. RNAcentral describes it as "sequence contains ITS1". The stretch from base 1 to 105 matches the Rfam family "5.8S ribosomal RNA", at positions 50 to 154 of the family's 154-position model. Lineage: Eukaryota; Fungi; Ascomycota; Pezizomycetes; Pezizales; Pyronemataceae. The record is from RNAcentral.